RNAcentral lists this long non-coding RNA (751 nucleotides) under Pan troglodytes (chimpanzee). Its description in RNAcentral is "lincRNA". Lineage: Eukaryota; Metazoa; Chordata; Mammalia; Primates; Hominidae. The record is from RNAcentral.
AAACCCAUGAAAGAGGAUCCUGAAAGAGCAAGGGCAGCCUCCAGGUGAAGGUGGUGGGCGGCCUCCAGGUGAAGGCGGCCUCCAGGUGAAGGUGGUCAGCACCCUACCUUUGGCCAAGAGGAGACUGCAGUUUCAACUCAAAGAUUAUUCCUGAAUGAUGCAACAAGCUUAAACUUCCUUAAAAACAAACCUCUGGGAAGAGGAAAAUGAGGCAAGAUGCUGAGAAAAAGUCAUCUCCCACUCUGCCCUUCUCUGGCAAAUCGAAGUGUCCUCUUGUGGGAGGCGGUGGGCAGCGACACUCCUGUUGGACGUCAGUGUUCUCGGGCCCGGCCACCCCGGAGCAGAACUCACUUAGGGCCUGGUGCCCCUGUGCCCAGUUCUCAGAACGUCGGAGUGCUCAGUUCUCAGAACGCCGGAGUGCCCCAUUCAUAACCUGCAGCCCCAUUCAUAGCCUGCAGCUCCCCUCCUUCCUCUCCUCCCGGUCUUCAGGGAGCACCCCCAGCUCCCCUCCCCACUCUCAAACCCUCCUCCUCCCUCCCCUCUCUCAGUUCCCUGUUUGCAGGAUCUCCUCCUGCCCACUCUCCAGCCCAGGUCCUCCCCUCUCAUCUCCAAUUCUGCUUCACGGGCCAUGACAGCAGGCAGGCCAUGGCCUGCUCUCAGCAGUUUGAUCGAUGGACUAAGGAGAUCACUCCUACGAGAGUGAAAAAGUCAAAUGUGCCUGAGAUUCAGAUGGGGAGCUCUCAAAGCUACG